CCAACGACCAAAGCAAAGGACAGCAGAACUGACUGACACAUUGCUCAGAAAAUAUCCAAAGCUCUGUAUGCUCUGGAAAGGAAGGCAAGAAAUACUAAAGACUCUGGAUAUUGCUCUGUUUCUAUAAGGUCCCACCCAUAUACCAUCUCUUCUUUUGGAUUUCCUUUGGCAGGGUUCCCUUGUAUGGAAGUUCUCAGGAGAACAACACUCUCAGAGUCCCAUUGUCUCAAAGAAUUCUUAAUGGACAGCUAUACUUGGCCCCAAGGUUUCAACCUCAGACUGAAGAAAGUGACAUAAGAAAACACAAGUCCCAGUGCUAUCAGGGGCUAUCUGGAAAAGCUGCUUAAACAGCAAGUGAAAGAAGGCUCUCCCCUACCCCGUUCUAGUUAUAAACAUCACAUCUCUUAACAUAUGGCCAAGAUGAUGAAGCUGAUGGAACUCACCCUGAAGUUAUUUGAAGGAUCCUUGAGACUCUUUUGGAUUGCUGCUUGGAGAACAUUCCUGUAACUUGUCCCUGCUCCUUGAACUAUAAAAGCAGAAGGGAGGUACUGAGUUAAAACUUAUAAAUUAUUAUCAAAUAAAUCUUCAAUAGUGGUUCA
Molecule: non-coding RNA, 599 nt
Filed under: Pan troglodytes (chimpanzee)
Lineage: Eukaryota; Metazoa; Chordata; Mammalia; Primates; Hominidae
Source: RNAcentral